GGCAAGCCAGUCAGACCGCAGGUCGUAUGCUAAUGAGCAAAACCGGCCUGUUUUAUUUCCAAUCCCGCGAGCGCUCGCUCCUGUCAUCUAACGUCUCGCGAGUCACGAGAUUUUUGUACCGUGUACUGCGAGUGCAGUUUAAGAGAAAACCAAGCUUUCUGCGGUCGCAAUGUUUAGGAGAUGGCAGAUUCAUGUAUAUGGUGACUUGAUUGUUCGUGGUGUAAGUUUUGAUCAGGAUCAGUUUGGUGGCAAAAUAUUCUGCUAUCCGGGUGCCACUGUUAGGAAUCUUCGACAGAAAUUAGAGCACAAACAGACUUUGACUCCACAGUGGAUGCAGUUGUAAUCCAUAUUGGAACUAACAAUCUUGGCAAUAGUGUCUGGGAAAGAACUGGAGGACAAUAUAGAGAUUUGAUUUUUAGUGUACGUGAGAAGUACAGAGAAUCAAGAAGCUGUGAGAAUGUAAAAACAACACAUUUACAGAAUCCUACCUCUGUGUCUUUAAUAGAAUCCGAUAACAGUGAUGAUUCUGAUUAUACAUCUAGUGAUGAAAGUGAUUUGGAAAUUAAUGACAGAGAUAUGCAGGUUGAUGAUGAUGUACAUGUCUUUGAGACCUCUGAAGGUAAUGUAAGAGAAGCUGAGAUAACAGAUUUUUCUGAAGAUGAAACAGAAUUGGCUUAAAUACUGACUGAUAUUACUUGUCGGAAUGUUUAAGAGUUAUUGCUCGGCAUUUGUAUUCUAUUUUAUAUAUGUUUGUAUUCAGAGUUUUAUUUAGUUAUGUACAUGUUCAUGCUGCCUCAUUGACGUAAUUACUGGUUAUUACAACUUAAUAUGUAUUAGAACUUUUGUUACAUUACUGUCAGCUUUUUAUCAAAGAGAUUUACUAGUAGAUAUGUUGUCUUCAUAUACAUGCCAGGUGUUUUCAGUUACACCCAUAUUUAUAGUGGUUAUUAAUUCUAGAUUGUUUUCUUGAGCACAUGCAUGUUCAUUAUUAUAUUAUAUUCUAGAGUUGAAGGAAGUGUAAACAAAAUGUUACACUGCUAUCUAGUAUCUACAUGUAUCUUGUAUUCUGCUUUUUAAAAUAAGAUGAAACUUGCCAGCUGACGUUUUGAAUGCUAUGGAGACACUUUUUUUUCUACUAGCGUUUGUACAAUCUUUCUUUUCUUGCCAAAGAAGGUUCUAUCUUUUUGUUUGAAUAGACUCUCUGAGAUAUUUAAAUACCGGUGAUCUGUAUGCAAUUAUGUUUAUGUUUGGAUCAUGGUAUGCUUUACUUUUAACAAAUGUUUUGUUUGCAUUUGCUGUCAUGGUGAUAAGUAUUGGUCACAGGGAGUCUUUCUUUAUUUUGUCAUAUUGUACAACUCUGCAUAUAUGUAUGUAUUUCCUAGAUAUGUUGUCUUCAUAUACAUGCACGGUGUUUUCAGUUACACCCAUAUUUAUAGUGGUUAUUAAUUCUAGAUUUUUUUUCAACACAUGCAUGGUCAUUAUUAUAUUUUUUUCUAGAGUUGAAGGAAGUGUACCGGUAAACAAAAUGUUACAUCUACAUGUACAUGUAUCUUGUAUUCUGCUUUUAAAAUAAGAUGAAACUUGCCAGCUGACGUUUUGAAUGCUACAUGUAUGGAGACACACUUACAUGUACUUU
RNAcentral lists this long non-coding RNA (1636 nucleotides) under Strongylocentrotus purpuratus (purple sea urchin). RNAcentral's name for it is "uncharacterized LOC105446075". Lineage: Eukaryota; Metazoa; Echinodermata; Echinoidea; Camarodonta; Strongylocentrotidae. The record is from RNAcentral.